Molecule: ribosomal RNA, 401 nt
Filed under: Hypophthalmichthys molitrix (silver carp)
Lineage: Eukaryota; Metazoa; Chordata; Actinopteri; Cypriniformes; Xenocyprididae
Description: partial 12S ribosomal RNA
Source: RNAcentral
CAAAGGCAUGGUCCUGACCUUAUUAUCAGCUCUUACCCGACUUACACAUGCAAGUCUCCGCAAUCCCGUGAGUAUGCCCUCAAUCCCCUGCCCGGGGACGAGGAGCGGGCAUCAGGCACAAAUUUUAGCCCAAGACGCCUGGCCAAGCCACACCCCCAAGGGAAUUCAGCAGUGAUAAACAUUAAGCCAUAAGUGAAAACUUGACUCAAUCAAGGUAAAGAGGGCCGGUAAAACUCGUGCCAGCCACCGCGGUUAAACGAGAGGCCCUAGUUGAUAAAACCACGGCGUAAAGGGUGGUUAAGGAAAGCAAAACAAAUUAAAGCCAAAUGGCCCUUUGGCCGUCAUACGCUUCUAGGUGUCCGAAGCCCAAUUAUACGAAAGUAGCUUUAUUAAAGCCCACC